RNAcentral lists this ribosomal RNA (256 nucleotides) under uncultured bacterium. RNAcentral describes it as "partial 16S ribosomal RNA". It matches the Rfam family "Bacterial small subunit ribosomal RNA", at positions 96 to 354 of the family's 1533-position model. The record is from RNAcentral.
UGGCGGACGGGUGAGUAACGCGUGGGCAACCUGCCCUGUACAGGGGGACAACACUUAGAAAUAGGUGCUAAUACCGCAUAACGGGGGAGCCGCAUGGCACCCCCCUGAAGACUCCGGUGGUACAGGAUGGGCCCGCGUCUGAUUAGCUGGUUGGCAGGGUAACGGCCUACCAAGGCGACGAUCAGUAGCCGGCCUGAGAGGGCGGACGGCCACACUGGGACUGAGACGCGGCCCAGACUCCUACGGGAGGCAGCAG